Dipodomys ordii (Ord's kangaroo rat) is the source of this 57-nucleotide non-coding RNA. The record is from Rfam. Lineage: Eukaryota; Metazoa; Chordata; Mammalia; Rodentia; Heteromyidae.
UGGCUCAGUGGUAGAGCGCUUGCCUUGCAUGCCUGAGGCCCUGGGUUCGAUUCCCAG